CCGGUUACACCCGGACGAAGGACCGCUAAACGGCGGGGGUAACUAUGACCCUCUUAAGGUAGCGUAAUACCUUGUCGCUUAAUUGGCGACUUGCACGAAUGGCCUAACGAGAGCUCUACUGUCCCUGCCUUGAGCCCGAUGAAAUUGACGUACUGGCGCACAGUCCAGUACGUCCCAGCCGCAAGCGAAGACCCCGUGGAGCUUUACUGCAGCCUGUCGUUGUGGUACGAGUUGUAAUGUGCAGGGUAGACGGGAGCCAUCGAAACCUGGGCGCCAGCCCGGGUGGAGGCAACGAUGAAACACCGUCCUUUACGAUUCGUCCCGCUAAACCCCUUCGGGGGGACACCGAUAGGUGGGCAGUUUGGGUGGGGCGCCACUCCCUCGAAAAAAUAACAAGGGAGCUCAAAGGUCAGCUUAGGUAGGUCAGAAAUCUACCGUAAAGUGCAAGGGCAAAAGCUGGCUUGACGUGGUUUGGCACCACAACAAACCACGAUGCGAAAGCAGGACCUAGCGAACCAACCAGCCCCGUUAGUAGGGGCGGUUGAUAACAGAAAAGUUACCCCGGGGAUAACUGAGUUGUCUGGAGCAAGAGCCCAUAUCGACCUCCAGGCUUG
Molecule: ribosomal RNA, 614 nt
Filed under: Candidatus Thalassarchaeaceae archaeon
Lineage: Archaea; Methanobacteriati; Thermoplasmatota; Candidatus Poseidoniia; Candidatus Poseidoniales; Candidatus Thalassarchaeaceae
Description: partial 23S ribosomal RNA
Rfam family: Archaeal large subunit ribosomal RNA
Source: RNAcentral